RNAcentral lists this ribosomal RNA (794 nucleotides) under uncultured bacterium. RNAcentral describes it as "bacterial SSU rRNA". It matches the Rfam family "Bacterial small subunit ribosomal RNA", at positions 8 to 796 of the family's 1533-position model. The record is from RNAcentral.
AGAGUUUGAUCAUGGCUCAGAACGAACGCUGGCGGCGCGCCUAAUACAUGCAAGUCGAGCGAGAAGACGUAGCAAUACGUUUGUAAAGCGGCGAACGGGUGAGGAAUACAUGGGUAACCUACCCUCGAGUGGGGAAUAACUAGCCGAAAGGUUAGCUAAUACCGCGUACGCUUCUUGGACUUCGGUUCAGGGAGGAAAGCGAUACCGUGGGUAUCGCGCUCUUGGAUGGGCUCAUGUCCUAUCAGCUUGUUGGUGAGGUAACGGCUCACCAAGGCUUCGACGGGUAGCUGGUCUGAGAGGACGAUCAGCCACACUGGCACUGCGACACGGGCCAGACUCCUACGGGAGGCAGCAGUAAGGAAUAUUGCGCAAUGGGCGAAAGCCUGACGCAGCGACGCCGCGUGGGGGAUGAAGGUCUUCGGAUUGUAAACCCCUUUCGGGAGGGAAGAUGGAAUGGGGUAACCCAUUCGGACGGUACCUCCAGAAGCAGCCACGGCUAACUUCGUGCCAGCAGCCGCGGUAAUACGAAGGUGGCAAGCGUUGUUCGGAUUUACUGGGCGUACAGGGAGCGUAGGCGGUUCGGUAAGCCCUCUGUGAAAUCUCCAGGCUUAACCUGGAACAGUCGGAGGGGACUGCCGGGCUAGAGGACGGGAGAGGAGCGCGGAAUUCCCGGUGUAGCGGUGAAAUGCGUAGAGAUCGGGAGGAAGGCCGGUGGCGAAGGCGGCGCCUGGAACGUUUCUGACGCUGAGGCCGAAAGCGUGGGGAGCAAACAGGAUUAGAUACCCNNGUAGUCC